This 124-nucleotide small nucleolar RNA is filed under the name Prunus persica (peach). Lineage: Eukaryota; Viridiplantae; Streptophyta; Magnoliopsida; Rosales; Rosaceae. The record is from RNAcentral.
ACCAAUUCUAGAGGAUUAUUGGUUCCUCCUGAUGUAAUGGCUCGGACGCUACAUUGACCUAUGUGGCCAUCCUGAUCAAUGGAUACUCAAUGCCAUUUGGAUCCUGGAAACACCCCAUACAUUU